RNAcentral lists this ribosomal RNA (450 nucleotides) under uncultured bacterium. RNAcentral describes it as "partial 16S ribosomal RNA". It matches the Rfam family "Bacterial small subunit ribosomal RNA", at positions 354 to 796 of the family's 1533-position model. The record is from RNAcentral.
GUGGGGAAUUUUGGACAAUGGGCGAAAGCCUGAUCCAGCCAUGCCGCGUGCAGGAUGAAGGCCUUCGGGUUGUAAACUGCUUUUGUACGGAACGAAAAGACUCCUUCUAAUAAAGGGGGUCCAUGACGGUACCGUAAGAAUAAGCACCGGCUAACUACGUGCCAGCAGCCGCGGUAAUACGUAGGGUGCAAGCGUUAAUCGGAAUCACUGGGCGUAAAGCGUGCGCAGGCGGUUAUAUAAGACAGAUGUGAAAUCCCCGGGCUCAACCUGGGAACUGCAUUUGUGACUGUAUAGCUAGAGUACGGUAGAGGGGGAUGGAAUUCCGCGUGUAGCAGUGAAAUGCGUAGAUAUGCGGAGGAACACCGAUGGCGAAGGCAAUCCCCUGGACCUGUACUGACGCUCAUGCACGAAAGCGUGGGGAGCAAACAGGAUUAGAAACCCCGGUAGUCC